GGUUCAAUGUAACGAUGAUGAUGAGGUAACGAUGAUGAUGAGGUGCUCAUCAUCAUCAUCAUCAUCGUCUCAUCAUUAUCAUCAUCU
RNAcentral lists this microRNA precursor (87 nucleotides) under Bigelowiella natans CCMP2755. Its description in RNAcentral is "miRNA EPrBNAG00000013657". The record is from RNAcentral. Lineage: Eukaryota; Cercozoa; Chlorarachniophyceae.